AGAGAGAGACAUGCGCGCAUAUCAAUAAGCGGAGGAAAAGAAACUAACUAGGAUUCCCCUAGUAACGGCGAGUGAAGCGGGAAGAGCUCAAAUUUGAAAUCUUAAAGGGUUCUACCUUGACGAAUUGUAGUUUAAAGAAGUGUUUUCUGUUGGAGUUUUGGUAAAAGUUCUUUGGAAUAGGACAUCAUAGAGGGUGAGAAUCCCGUAUUUGACCAUUAUUUCCAGCUUUGUGAUACACUUUCAAAGAGUCGGAUUGUUUGGGAAUGCAGUCCAAAAUGGGUGGUAAAUUUCAUCUAAAGCUAAAUAUUGGCGAGAGACCGAUAGCGAACAAGUACCGUGAGGGAAAGAUGAAAAGAACUUUGAAAAGAGAGUUAAACAGUACGUGAAAUUGUCAAAAGGGAAGCGUUUGACACCAGUGUUGUUUUCUCGAAAAUCAAUUAAAAAAGGCAGGAUUUUGUGUUGUAUUGACUUUAUCAGCUUUCUGCACUCUUUUCUUGUCUUUUUUAAUGCACUUUUCGUUUAACAAGUCAACAUCAAUUUCUUUUGUUGUAAAAGGGUCAUUGGAAGGUGGCUUUCUUUUCGGAGAAAGUGUUUAUAGCCUUUGGCCUCUGCAAUCGGAGAGAUUGAGGUCUGCAGCGUAGAUCCUUCGGGGUUAGAUACAUUUGUGCUAAGUUAUAGCCUUUCAUAGACAACUUGUUGACUAUGAUCAGUCAUGUAGCUUACUCGCUUAUGCUAUUUUACCUACGCUUAGGAUGUUGAUGUGAUACUGCGAGCA
Molecule: ribosomal RNA, 775 nt
Filed under: uncultured Neocallimastigales
Lineage: Eukaryota; Fungi; Neocallimastigomycota; Neocallimastigomycetes; Neocallimastigales
Description: partial large subunit ribosomal RNA
Rfam family: Eukaryotic large subunit ribosomal RNA
Source: RNAcentral